RNAcentral lists this ribosomal RNA (957 nucleotides) under Triticum aestivum (bread wheat). Its description in RNAcentral is "partial small subunit ribosomal RNA". The record is from RNAcentral. Lineage: Eukaryota; Viridiplantae; Streptophyta; Magnoliopsida; Poales; Poaceae.
AUGAUUCUACCGGAGAUUAUAUCAGCUGAGCAGUCAGCAUUCGUUCCUGGAAGGUUGAUUACCGACAACAUAAUCUCAGCAUACGAGUGUUUGCACUUUAUGAAACGGAAGAGGUCAAGGAACAAUGUUUAUGCUGCACUAAAACUUGACAUGAUGAAGGCUUAUGAUCGAGUGGAGUGGUCUUAUUUGAAGUCAAUCAUGGAAAAACUGGGUUUUGCUACACCUUGGGUGACUGUCGUGAUGAAUAUGGUGAGCUCAGUAUCUUUUUCUGUUAUGUUUAAUGGUGUGAAGUCAGAGGAAUUCCAACCUAUGAGAGGUAUUGGAUUCGGAAAUCCAAUCUCUCCUUACCUUUUCUUGUUAGCAGCAGAGGGCCUUUCGUGCCUGUUAAACUCUCAAAAUGAAUCAUCCCAGCUCAGCGGCAUUAAGGUGGCACCGUCGGCACCGACGGUGAAUCAUCUUUUAUUCGCGGAUGAUAGCCUGCUAUUUUUCAGGGCAAGUGUUGAUGGAGCGGAGGAAGUUUCAAACCUUUUGAAUACUUUUUGCAUGGCAUCGGGCCAGAGAAUAAAUAAGGAAAAAUCAUCUAUAUUUUUUAGUAAGGACUGCCCAGAGAUAGUGCGUGAUGUUGCCAAGGGUUUUCUGCAAGUCCACAAUGAGUCUUUGAAUGACAGAUAUUUGGGCAUGCCAACUGAUGUGGGCCACUCAAAGAAGGGUACGUUCAAGUAUUUGAGUGACAGGGUGUGGGACAAGGUGAAGGGAUGGAUGAGCAAAUGUCUAUCAGCAGGGGGCAAGGAUGUUCUUAUCAAAUCAGUAGCACAAGCCAUCCCGGUUUUUUUGAUGUCUUGCUUUAAGCUCCACCAAGGGGACUGUGUGAUCACAUCAAGUCUAUUAUCAGGAAAUUCUGGUGGGGAUGUAAGCAAGGUGAGCGCAAGCCGGCAUGGGUUUCUUGGGAUGUCAUGA